Molecule: ribosomal RNA, 805 nt
Filed under: uncultured bacterium
Lineage: Bacteria
Description: bacterial SSU rRNA
Rfam family: Bacterial small subunit ribosomal RNA
Source: RNAcentral
AGUCGAACGAGAGAUGAGGAGCUUGCUCUUCAAAUCGAGUGGCGAACGGGUGAGUAACGCGUGAGGAACCUGCCUCAAAGAGGGGGACAACAGUUGGAAACGACUGCUAAUACCGCAUAAGCCCACGGCUCGGCAUCGAGCAGAGGGAAAAGGAGCAAUCCGCUUUGAGAUGGCCUCGCGUCCGAUUAGCUAGUUAGUGAGGUAACGGCCCACCAAGGCGACGAUCGGUAGCCGGACUGAGAGGUUGAACGGCCACAUUGGGACUGAGACACGGCCCAGACUCCUACGGGAGGCAGCAGUGGGGAAUGUUGCACAAUGGGGGAAACCCUGAUGCAGCGACGCCGCGUGGAGGAAGAAGGUCUUCGGAUUGUAAACUCCUGUUGUUGAGGAAGAUAAUGACGGUACUCAACAAGGAAGUGACGGCUAACUACGUGCCAGCAGCCGCGGUAAAACGUAGGUCACAAGCGUUGUCCGGAAUUACUGGGUGUAAAGGGAGCGCAGGCGGGAGAACAAGUUGGAAGUGAAAUCCAUGGGCUCAACCCAUGAACUGCUUUCAAAACUGUCUUUCUUGAGUAGUGCAGAGGUAGGCGGAAUUCCCGGUGUAGCGGUGGAAUGCGUAGAUAUCGGGAGGAACACCAGUGGCGAAGGCGGCCUACUGGGCACCAACUGACGCUGAGGCUCGAAAGUGUGGGUAGCAAACAGGAUUAGAUACCCUGGUAGUCCACACCGUAAACGAUGAUUACUAGGUGUUGGAGGAUUGACCCCUUCAGUGCCGCAGUUAACACAAUAAGUAAUCCACCUGGGG